This 467-nucleotide ribosomal RNA is filed under the name uncultured bacterium. RNAcentral's name for it is "partial 16S ribosomal RNA". It matches the Rfam family "Bacterial small subunit ribosomal RNA", at positions 29 to 507 of the family's 1533-position model. The record is from RNAcentral.
ACGAACGCUGGCGGCGUGCUUAACACAUGCAAGUCGCACGGUGAAGCUCCAGCUUGCUGGAGUGGAUCAGUGGCGAACGGGUGAGUAACACGUGAGCAACCUGCCCCUGACUCUGGAAUAAGCGCUGGAAACGGCGUCUAAUACUGGAUACGAGAAGGGCCCGCAUGGGCACUUUCUGGAAAGUUUUUCGGUUGGGGAUGGGCUCGCGGCCUAUCAGCUUGUUGGUGAGGUAAUGGCUCACCAAGGCGACGACGGGUAGCCGGCCUGAGAGGGCGACCGGCCACACUGGGACUGAGACACGGCCCAGACUCCUACGGGAGGCAGCAGUGGGGAAUAUUGCACAAUGGGCGAAAGCCUGAUGCAGCGACGCCGCGUGAGGGAUGACGGCCUUCGGGUUGUAAACCUCUUUCAGCAGGGAAGAAGCGAAAGUGACGGUACCUGCAGAAGAAGCACCGGCUAACUACGUG